GCCAGCGUGGCAUAGUGGUUUGAGUGUUGGACUAUGACUCUGGAGCCCAGGGUUCAAUUCCCAGGUUGGCC
RNAcentral lists this transfer RNA (71 nucleotides) under Phrynosoma platyrhinos (Desert horned lizard). Its description in RNAcentral is "tRNA-OTHER". Lineage: Eukaryota; Metazoa; Chordata; Lepidosauria; Squamata; Phrynosomatidae. The record is from RNAcentral.